This 348-nucleotide unclassified non-coding RNA is filed under the name Hevea brasiliensis (rubber tree). The record is from RNAcentral. Lineage: Eukaryota; Viridiplantae; Streptophyta; Magnoliopsida; Malpighiales; Euphorbiaceae.
GAGGUUUUUAUAUUACGAAGAUGGGGAUUGGGUAGAUUACCCUCAGAUAACUGUCAAGUUGAUUAGGGAACAGUUUCAGAUUAAAAAUGCGGCAAUUGAAGUUGAAUUUGAUGGUCGUCAUUUGCUGCUAGAUGCUUUGUACAUGAUCCAAGUGGAACUGAAAACAGCUAUUCAGCAGCACAUUGCCUGGAUUGACGACAAUGGUCGAUGUUUCUUUCCAGAAUUUUAUUCGGAUGACAGUGUGAUGCAUCAGUUCCACCAACAUGAGCUGGAAGAUGCUUCUGCUGUUGCAUUAUCAGGCCAUACAGGAAUGAGAGAGAUCAAUUUGCAUCUUGAAAUUGGAAUAAC